This 1251-nucleotide long non-coding RNA is filed under the name Lactuca sativa (garden lettuce). RNAcentral describes it as "long non-coding RNA (LSAT_LNC000401)". Lineage: Eukaryota; Viridiplantae; Streptophyta; Magnoliopsida; Asterales; Asteraceae. The record is from RNAcentral.
UUUUCUUCUCCACGUCUGCCGAUUACGUCUUUAACCUCCCCAAUAUAUCUUCAAACUCCACUUCUCCCUACCACGUUCGUCCCCUUUCACAUAUAACCUUCAGCACGCCUCCGAGUUCAACUGUCCACCUCAAUAAGCCCUAAACAUCAGGUAGGUGUAGUAACUAUUGUGCAUAUAUAAGAGGUUGCUUUUUUGAAUAUAUGCGUUAUUCCAUCGCUUGAAAUUUGUCUAACGGUUGAUACAUCAUGGACCAGAAAUUGGCUGAUAAGGAUUUUCUGUUUGAAGAAAUGGCACCCAAGGUAAAAUUUAUUGAAAAGAUGUUUGGAUUUUGAUUCCUGUCUUUGAAAAUUUAUAAUUUUUUACUGCUUAAUUGUAGCUAUCUCAACUCAAAAUUGGUUAAAUCGUUGGUUUUAUUAUAUUGUUCAAUAUAACUAUCGUUUGCUUUUGGAAAUUUGCUAUGUUUUUUUAUAUAUGAUUAUAAUUUAUAAUCACUUACACAAUGAAGAACACUGUAUCCGUUCAUGAAAAUGCCAACCUUCAAACAAUAUCAGCUAAAUCCAUUGAUUUUGAAAGUAACUCUACUGAGAUAAUUGAGUAUUCUCCUCACUUCGGUCCUUUUAAAUCGAUUUUGGAAAGGGUUAUUUCGGAAGGGGUAGAAAUUCAUCGUCUUUUCAUCAAUUGUUAAUAGUUUAUGAUGUUUUAGUUUUGUUUUAGGUUUCUACAAUUGCUAAAGAAGAUCAACAACUCGAAAGGAAAAGAAAAAGAGUUUUAGCUCUAACAUAGUGGAAGUAGGAUGAAGUUGUGGACCUCUGCUCAGAUGAUGAUGAGAAAGAGGAUGUCCCCACCAUACAAGCAAAAAAGAAAGUCAGGGUUUGCAUUUACAAUCGAAAUCGACCCAUGAAACUCCUUGACAAGUCGGAUGUGGAGGAUUGAUGUUUCUAUAAGUUGGUUUUAAUAUGUUUUUCUUAUUUUCAAUAUUAUGUUUAGUUGUUGUUAUCAAUCUAUGUUUCAAACCUCUUGCUUUAUAAUAUAAGUUUGGUUCUUAUAAAUGUUUUGUGUUUGUUUUUUAUAAAUGUUCAAUAUUCAGUUUCCUAAUCAAUGUACUAUUUCCUUCUUAAAUCUCAGUUCAUUGCUUCUAAAGUCAUAACUAAUUAAGUCACUUUGAUUGAUAGUGGAUGCUCUUUUCGAGGUCUUCUUUGAAAGUACAUUUCAAUCCUUUUUGAUGAUCUUUAGUUGUUUUUCAUAGGAUGA